UACGAAGGGGACUAGCGUUGUUCGGAAUCACUGGGCGUAAAGCGCACGUAGGCGGAUGUGUCAGUCAGGGGUGAAAUCCCGGGGCUCAACCUCGGAACUGCCUUUGAUACAGCACGUCUCGAGUCCGGAAGAGGUGGGUGGAAUUCCUAGUGUAGAGGUGAAAUUCGUAGAUAUUAGGAAGAACACGGUGGCGAAGGCGGCCCACUGGUCCGGUACUGACGCUGAGGUGCGAAAGCGUGGGAGCAAACAGG
Molecule: ribosomal RNA, 251 nt
Filed under: uncultured bacterium
Lineage: Bacteria
Description: partial 16S ribosomal RNA
Rfam family: Bacterial small subunit ribosomal RNA
Source: RNAcentral